Molecule: ribosomal RNA, 316 nt
Filed under: uncultured bacterium
Lineage: Bacteria
Description: partial 16S ribosomal RNA
Rfam family: Bacterial small subunit ribosomal RNA
Source: RNAcentral
UACGAAGGGGGCUAGCGUUGUUCGGAAUUACUGGGCGUAAAGCGCGUGUAGGCGAGUCUUUAAGUCAGGGGUGAAAUGCAAGGCUCAACCUUGGAACUGCCUUUGAUACUGGAGAUCUUGAGUCCGGGAGAGGUGAGUGGAACUGCGAGUGUAGAGGUGAAAAUUCGUAGAUAUUCGCAAGAACACCAAGUGGCGAAGGCGGCUCAUUGGCCCGGAACUGACGCUGAGACGCGAAAGCGUGGGGAGCAAACAGGGAUUAAGAUACCCGGAGUAGUCCACGGAAGCCAAUCGAUCUCCGUCUCGUGACCCUGACGAA